RNAcentral lists this ribosomal RNA (499 nucleotides) under uncultured bacterium. RNAcentral describes it as "bacterial SSU rRNA". It matches the Rfam family "Bacterial small subunit ribosomal RNA", at positions 28 to 507 of the family's 1533-position model. The record is from RNAcentral.
GACGAACGCUGGCGGCGUGCCUAAUACAUGCAAGUCGAGCGGAAUGAUGAAGAAGCUUGCUUCUUCUGAUUUUAGCGGCGGACGGGUGAGUAACACGUGGGCAACCUACCUUGUAGAUUGGGAUAACUCCGGGAAACCGGGGCUAAUACCGAAUAAUCCAUUUUGCUUCAUGGCGAGAUGUUGAAAGACGGUUUCGGCUGUCACUACAAGAUGGGCCCGCGGCGCAUUAGCUAGUUGGUAGGGUAAUGGCCUACCAAGGCGACGAUGCGUAGCCGACCUGAGAGGGUGAUCGGCCACACUGGGACUGAGACACGGCCCAGACUCCUACGGGAGGCAGCAGUAGGAAUCUUCCACAAUGGACGAAAGUCUGAUGGAGCAACGCCGCGUGAGUGAAGAAGGUUUUCGGAUCGUAAAACUCUGUUGUAAGGGAAGAACACGUACGAGAGUAACUGCUCGUACCUUGACGGUACCUUAUUAGAAAGCCACGGCUAACUACGUG